AGAGCUGUAGCUCAAUGGUAGAGCAUCUGCUCUGCAUUCAGACAGUCCCAGGUUUGAUCCCCAGUAUCUCCA
Non-coding RNA from Podarcis lilfordi (Lilford's wall lizard), 72 nucleotides. The record is from the annotation of a GenBank genome assembly. Lineage: Eukaryota; Metazoa; Chordata; Lepidosauria; Squamata; Lacertidae.